CAUCGCUGUAUUUUCCAUUAAUUUUUUUUUCCAGAGCUAAUGCACAGCAGCCAAAGCUGUUCGUGGGCAUGAUUCUCAUUCUCAUCUUUGCUGAAGCACUCGCUCUCUAUGGUCUCAUUGUGGGGAUCAUUCUAUCAUCCCGAGCUGGUCAGUCUCGUGCAGAAUGAAGAGUGCCAAAGCUUAUGGUUUCUUGAUGUCCUAUAUCAUGAUUUAGAAUGGGAACUGAGACUAUGUUUGCAUUGUUCGAUUCAAUUUGCUAUAAUUGCCAAACUCUUGUAUACAUGGGAUUCUCAGCAUCCCUGUAAUCUUACUAUAUGAUAAACCUCCCUUCUUGCGCUGAAUUCGUGAGUUCAAAACAAUUCCCAACGCUGAUGCCUUUAGAACGAUCCUGUUAAUCUUUAAAAGCAAGGUUGAUUUUCAUGCUUAUUCAAAUUUUCUUUUCCCUGUGAAUGAGCAUGCAUAGGAUUUCAAUUUAUGAAAAGAACUUAUCUACUUAUUCAAAUUGAUGACUGGCAUGAUGCUGAUUAUAAUCCAGUGGCCGUGAAAUAGAGACCAUUUUUGCCGGUAAAAAGAGGGGGGAAAAACCCAGUAGAUCAGUCCUUAAGAAAUGCAGGCAGAUGUCAUGGGUUCAUUUGAUGUGUUCACCUUCUAUAUGCUUUUAUUUGAAUCAAGAUCAUUUCCACAUACUGGGUUUUUGAUCAUUUCCACAUACUGGGUUUUGACAUGACCAGAUGGAUGGUUCAAGCAUUAUGACAGGUGACCGUAAUUAUAUUUUUGCAAUUAGGCUAAUUGUCUUGUGAGGACUGACGUGCUUAAUUAAAGCCCUAAAAUUUACCCAGAUGAUGAUGGACGAUUCCAAUUGAUUGGCCAAAAAGGAAUCAUUCAGCCGAGUGUCGCCGAUGAGGAUCAAUAAACCCCACAGGCCACAGAAGACUUGACCAGAAUUGCCCACAAGGACAGGCGCAUAAACAUAAGCAGACACGGAUAAAGAAGAGAGAGAUGGCAGUAGCAUCGGCAACAAAAGCAGAAGCAAGUGGAGGAACCCAAGAUUUUGUGGAACGAGAACGAACGCAGGUUUGAAACCGAAGACAAGGAAGCAUACGGAAGAUUAUGUCCUCGUAUGUGAUGGGAAAGUGAUCGACCUUGCAUUCCUAUGUGCCACGUUCCAAGAGGGGAUUGGGCAUGGCUUCUCAUCUCUGCGUUGCAGCCUUCAAUCAUGCCAAAUCCACUCCCAUGUUUAUCAGCCCCACUUGCUCUCAUGUAUCCUGCAAGUUCAAUCACCCCCCAAUCUUCUUAGCAUCCCUUUCUGGGCCUUCUUUUUUCUGCAGUCUUUGAUACUUAUUUUUUUUCCCCUCUUAUUACCUUGGUGUUUUUAAUAGAUAAAGGCAGGAAAACAUGGAUAAUUAGGGUGUAUUUGGGAUAAAGGUAGUGGACACUUCACGGAACCCAUCUUGGAAUCCUCGUGUACUCUGAAGGUCUCAAACCUAGCAUGUAACCUGGAGCAACGUUUUUUCAUCGUUUUUAGAAUUUUGAAGAGCAAUUAACUUAAUCACAUAAAUUAUGAAUAGCAAAGGCAUUGGAGUUUGGGACACGCCGGAUUUAUUUUGUAUCUGUUUAGUGUCCAAUCAAUGGUUUGGGAAAUGCAUACCAAGAACGUCAUGAGCAGCGACUGCAGCACAGGAGCAGGCUGCCUCGCUUGUUAUUUGCAAUUGGCAUCAGCGAUAAUUACGAUAGUUCAUGAAUCUUUGCAAACUUCCCUGAAGAGGAAUUACAGCAACCUGAUUGUUUUCUUGAUACGCUCGCGUCCCAUUUUCCUACACUUUUCACCAUUUCCCCCCUUGUUAAGAAGCUGAGAAUUUAAUUGUCAAAUGUUCGUCCGCUGCAUCUGAUCAGGAAUCCGUGAUGAAAGCAAAUAACAACAGUUGGUACACAACACAACACAACAUUUCAUCUGAUAAAUACAAAUUUAGUUCAACGAACACAAGGCAAAAAAAAAUAUAAUUCACCAUAUGAUACAACAUAC
Populus euphratica (Euphrates poplar) is the source of this 2023-nucleotide long non-coding RNA. RefSeq lists it as uncharacterized. NCBI's taxonomy places the organism in Eukaryota, Viridiplantae, Streptophyta, Magnoliopsida, Malpighiales, Salicaceae. The record is from RefSeq and is a predicted model, not a curated record. The transcript is spliced from 3 exons.